AGAUGGUAUUACUAUUCACAGUGAAGCUGUUGGAGUUUGACUACACAAACAUUGACUCAAUGAGUCCUUAUAGUGGAUGUUUUAGUUGAUCUACUGUAGGAGUAGGGUGUACAUCAAGAUGGAAUCUAUCGAUCCGAGCAGAAGAGAGUAGUUCUAUGGGAUUAAAGAAGCUGAGUCUUUAAGUCUAUGGCAAUAGUAGUAUGAUUAAUGAAAAAGAGUUUCUAUGAGAAUCACAUAUGGACUCGAGCUGAUUGAAUCUAUCAUAUGAUCGAUG
RNAcentral lists this long non-coding RNA (274 nucleotides) under Elaeis guineensis (African oil palm). RNAcentral's name for it is "long non-coding RNA (EGUI_LNC057289)". Lineage: Eukaryota; Viridiplantae; Streptophyta; Magnoliopsida; Arecales; Arecaceae. The record is from RNAcentral.